UCCAGUUCUGUUAUUCCCAAUAGAAGCGUCAAAGUUAAUUUUAAUGCAGUUUUUUAGAGGUUUGACCCAUUUUCUAUCGUCAACCUGGGCAGAUAACAUCGGCAUAUUUAAUAGGUUAUGGAUUCAGAAUUCUUUACUGAACAUACUGGCCUUAUUCCAUAUGUCCUUUGCCUUAUCUUCUUUUCCCCUAAAAACUCGAUUGUUUUUGUUGUUCCAGCAAUUCCACAGAAU
Molecule: long non-coding RNA, 231 nt
Filed under: Gossypium barbadense (sea-island cotton)
Lineage: Eukaryota; Viridiplantae; Streptophyta; Magnoliopsida; Malvales; Malvaceae
Description: long non-coding RNA (GBAR_LNC018660)
Source: RNAcentral